This 496-nucleotide ribosomal RNA is filed under the name uncultured bacterium. Its description in RNAcentral is "partial 16S ribosomal RNA". It matches the Rfam family "Bacterial small subunit ribosomal RNA", at positions 28 to 507 of the family's 1533-position model. The record is from RNAcentral.
GAUGAACGCUGGCGGCGUGCCUAAUACAUGCAAGUCGAGCGAACAGACGAGGAGCUUGCUCCUCUGACGUUAGCGGCGGACGGGUGAGUAACACGUGGAUAACCUACCUAUAAGACUGGGAUAACUUCGGGAAACCGGAGCUAAUACCGGAUAAUAUAUUGAACCGCAUGGUUCAAUAGUGAAAGACGGUUUUGCUGUCACUUAUAGAUGGAUCCGCGCCGCAUUAGCUAGUUGGUAAGGUAACGGCUUACCAAGGCAACGAUGCGUAGCCGACCUGAGAGGUUAAUCGACCACACUGAACCUGAAACCCGAUCCAGACUCUACGGGAGGCAGCAGUAGGGAAUCUUCCGCAAUGGGCGAAAGCCUGACGGAGCAACGCCGCGUGAGUGAUGAAGGUCUUCGGAUCGUAAAACUCUGUUAUUAGGGAAGAACAAAUGUGUAAGUAACUAUGCACGUCUUGACGGUACCUAAUCAGAAAGCCACGGCUAACUACGUG